This 263-nucleotide ribosomal RNA is filed under the name uncultured Sphingomonadales bacterium. RNAcentral describes it as "partial 16S ribosomal RNA". It matches the Rfam family "Bacterial small subunit ribosomal RNA", at positions 524 to 786 of the family's 1533-position model. Lineage: Bacteria; Pseudomonadati; Pseudomonadota; Alphaproteobacteria; Sphingomonadales. The record is from RNAcentral.
UACGGAGGGAGCUAGCGUUGUUCGGAAUUACUGGGCGUAAGGCGCACGUAGGCGGCUUUGUAAGUUAGAGGUGAUAGCCUGGAGCUCAACUCCAGAAUUGCCUUUAAGACUGCAUCGCUUGAAUCCAGGAGAGGUGAGUGGAAUUCCGAGUGUAGAGGUGAAAUUCGUAGAUAUUCGGAAGAACACCAGUGGCGAAGGCGUCUCACUGGACUGGUAUUGACGCUGAGGUGCGAAAGCGUGGGGAGCAAACAGGAUUAGAUACC